Mesocricetus auratus (golden hamster) is the source of this 1182-nucleotide long non-coding RNA. RefSeq lists it as uncharacterized. Lineage: Eukaryota; Metazoa; Chordata; Mammalia; Rodentia; Cricetidae. The record is from RefSeq and is a predicted model, not a curated record. The transcript is spliced from 4 exons.
CGGCAGCGGGAAAACUACUUGGCUCAUCUGGGUUACUUGUUUGGUAUCUUGAUCCUUAUUAUCAGCUCCAAAGGACAUCCAAUAGCAUUGGCAAUAUCCUGUAUUAUUUGAGAAUCUGUGGGACCACAUUAGCCAACAACUCCUGAAAAGAUCUGACUGCCAACAAAACCUACAGAAUGUGCCAGACACCUCCUGUCUAGAUAGCAGAGCUAGUUCCGUCUCAAGAGCUGCCAGGAAAAUUUUGAAGAGAAAGGAAAACCAGAACACAAGAAGCAGAAGCAACAGAUCCCGAAGACAAGAGAAGCAGCAGGUCAUUCUGGCAGUUUCGUCUCCACCUGGCUUUCCUUAGGCUGGCCUCAAUUUCGCUUGCCAGCUCUCAUAUGCUGUGACAUAUAAACAGCCUUGAAAUAAGUCCCAUUUCACUUGAACAUUUGGAGUGAAAAUUUUGGUAGUCAAAAGAAGUAGAAUUAGGGCUGAGGACACAACUCGAUCUGUAAAGCACUUGCUGCUCUAGCAUGGGGGUCCUAAGCUAUAUCCUCAGAAACCACAUAAAAGAGGUCAGGCAUGGUGACAGAUGCUUAUAAUACAGCACUGAGGAGGCAGAAACAGGAGGAUCUGGUUUCCAGUGGGAGAUUCUAUCUCGAAAACUAAAAUAAAAUGAAAAUACAGUGGACAAUGUUCGAGGCAGAGCAAUUCCUAGACACAUGCACCAACAGUGUACACAAAAACACAAGAAGAGAGAGAGAGUGGGAGAGAGAGAGAGAGAGAGAGAGAGGAAAGAAAGAAAGGAAGGAAGACAGACAGUGAGAUGGGAGGGAGGGAAGGAGGAGAAAUUAAGAAAAAUAAGCAUAAUACAGUGACAUCAUUGUUAUAGAGUAAGGAUAUUCAAGACAGCUCAGAAAUGUUCAACUAUGGAGAUGUAUAAUUGUAAAUAAGAAAGAAAGCACAAGGGCUUAUGGAGCACAUCUGUGUGCUAGGCUCUGGUUUGAGUGCUAGGGACAUUAAGAUAAAUACUCCUCUACUUCAAAGAAACUAAAAAUUGAAAUACAUGAAAACACAGAGCUCAAAUUUUUUUUACUUAAAUGCUGCUGUUGAUGCUGUCUUUUAGGUAGCUUGAAUCUUUGAAGACAUGGCGGGUCUUCUCUCUAAAUGCUGCCCAGAAAAUAAAUCCUUUUGUGGUGA